This 279-nucleotide unclassified non-coding RNA is filed under the name Hevea brasiliensis (rubber tree). Lineage: Eukaryota; Viridiplantae; Streptophyta; Magnoliopsida; Malpighiales; Euphorbiaceae. The record is from RNAcentral.
CAUAGUUGGUAGAGCAUCUGUGAUCAUCUUUAUUUUGGCCUUCACAAUCUUUGUUAGCGCACUCUCAUUAGGUGGUGUUGGCAUAGCAGACACGAUUAGAAAGAUCAAGGAAGGGCAAUAUAUGGGGUUUGAUAACAUCUGUGCAUAUAAUCCUUAAGUUCUGUAUAACUAGUGUCUUUCUGAACUUGUUGCAACAGAUUUUGACUUUAGGUGAUUCGAUUCACAUAUGUUUAGUUGGAUGAUAAACACUUUGGCGAUUUUGAGGCUGCUAGUUAGAAG